RNAcentral lists this ribosomal RNA (481 nucleotides) under uncultured bacterium. RNAcentral's name for it is "bacterial SSU rRNA". It matches the Rfam family "Bacterial small subunit ribosomal RNA", at positions 30 to 506 of the family's 1533-position model. The record is from RNAcentral.
AUUGAACGCUGGCGGAAUGCUUUACACAUGCAAGUCGAGCGGCAGCGCGGGGCAACCUGGCGGCGAGCGGCGAACGGGUGAGUAAUACAUCGGAACGUGCCCAGACGUGGGGGAUAACUACUCGAAAGAGUGGCUAAUACCGCAUACGAUCUACGGAUGAAAGCGGGGGAUCGCAAGACCUCGCGCGUCUGGAGCGGCUGAUGGCAGAUUAGGUAGUUGGUGGGAUAAAAGCCUACCAAGCCAACGAUCUGUAGCUGGUCUGAGAGGAUGAUCAGCCACACUGGGACUGAGACACGGCCCAGACUCCUACGGGAGGCAGCAGUGGGGAAUUUUGGACAAUGGGCGAAAGCCUGAUCCAGCCAUUCCGCGUGCAGGAUGAAGGCCCUCGGGUUGUAAACUGCUUUGUACAGAACGAAAAAGACUCUGGCUAAUACCUGGAGUCCAUGACGGUACUGUAAGAAUAAGCACCGGCUAACUACGU